UACGAAGGGGGCUAGCGUUGUUCGGAAUUACUGGGCGUAAAGGGCGCGCAGGCGGCCGCUCAAGUCAGAUGUGAAAGCCCCGGGCUCAACCUGGGAACUGCAUUUGAUACUGAGUGGCUAGAGUUCGGGAGAGGAGAGUGGAAUUCCCAGUGUAGAGGUGAAAUUCGUAGAUAUUGGGAAGAACACCGGUGGCGAAGGCGGCUCUCUGGUCCGGUACUGACGCUGAGGUGCGAAAGCGUGGGGAGCAAACAGG
RNAcentral lists this ribosomal RNA (253 nucleotides) under uncultured bacterium. Its description in RNAcentral is "partial 16S ribosomal RNA". It matches the Rfam family "Bacterial small subunit ribosomal RNA", at positions 524 to 776 of the family's 1533-position model. The record is from RNAcentral.